Molecule: ribosomal RNA, 773 nt
Filed under: uncultured Neocallimastigales
Lineage: Eukaryota; Fungi; Neocallimastigomycota; Neocallimastigomycetes; Neocallimastigales
Description: partial large subunit ribosomal RNA
Rfam family: Eukaryotic large subunit ribosomal RNA
Source: RNAcentral
AUCUCUGUAGAGUCUGCAUAUCAAUAAGCGGAGGAAAAGAAACUAACAAUGGAUUCCCUCAGUAACGGCGAGUGAAGCGGGAAGAGCUCAAAUUUGAAUCUUCAAGGUUCUACCUUGACGAAUUGUAGUUUAAAGAAGUGUUUUCUGUUGGUGUUUUGGUAAAAGUUCUUUGGAAUAGGACACCAUAGAGGGUGAGAAUCCCGUAUUUGACCAUUACUUCCAGCGUUGUGAUACACUUUCAAAGAGUCGGAUUGUUUGGGAAUGCAGUCCAAAAUGGGUGGUAAAUUUCAUCUAAAGCUAAAUAUCGGCGAGAGACCGAUAGCGAACAAGUACCGUGAGGGAAAGAUGAAAAGAACUUUGAAAAGAGAGUUAAACAGUACGUGAAAUUGUCAAAAGGGAAGCGUUUGACACCAGUGUUGUUUUUCCGAAAAUCAAUUACGAAUGGCUUGAUUUUGUGUUGUAUUGACCUUAUCAGCUUUCUGCACUUUUUUCGAGUCUUUCUUAAUGCACUUUUCGGUUAACAAGCCAACAUCAAUUUCUUUUGUUGUAAAAGAGUAUUCGGAAGGUGGCUUUCUUUUCGGAGAAAGUGUUUAUAGCCCUAUACUUCUACAAUCGGAGAGAUUGAGGUCUGCAGCGUAGAUCCUUCGGGGUUAGAUACACUUGUGCUAAGUUGUAGCUUUUCAUAGACAACUUGUUGACUAUGUUUAGUCAUGCGGCUUACUCGCUUGUGCUAUUUUACCUACGCUUAGGAUGUUGACUGAUAUGUAGUCGUA